RNAcentral lists this transfer RNA (74 nucleotides) under Thermotoga sp. RNAcentral describes it as "tRNA-Cys". It matches the Rfam family "tRNA". Rfam says of the family: Transfer RNA (tRNA) molecules are approximately 80 nucleotides in length. Their secondary structure includes four short double-helical elements and three loops (D, anti-codon, and T loops). RNAcentral also lists the same sequence under 3 other names. The record is from RNAcentral. Lineage: Bacteria; Thermotogati; Thermotogota; Thermotogae; Thermotogales; Thermotogaceae.
GGCGACGUGGCCGAGUGGUCGAAGGCAGGGGUCUGCAAAAUCCCGAAUCGUGGGUUCGAAUCCCACCGUCGCCU